This 468-nucleotide ribosomal RNA is filed under the name uncultured bacterium. RNAcentral describes it as "partial 16S ribosomal RNA". It matches the Rfam family "Bacterial small subunit ribosomal RNA", at positions 28 to 507 of the family's 1533-position model. The record is from RNAcentral.
GACGAACGCUGGCGGCGUGCUUAACACAUGCAAGUCGAACGGAAAGGCCCUGCUUUUGUGGGGUGCUCGAGUGGCGAACGGGUGAGUAACACGUGAGUAACCUGCCCUUGACUUUGGGAUAACUUCAGGAAACUGGGGCUAAUACCGGAUAGGAGCUCCUGCUGCAUGGUGGAGGUUGGAAAGUCUCGGCGGUUGGGGAUGGACUCGCGGCUUAUCAGCUUGUUGGUGGGGUAGUGGCUUACCAAGGCUUUGACGGGUAGCCGGCCUGAGAGGGUGACCGGCCACAUUGGGACUGAGAUACGGCCCAGACUCCUACGGGAGGCAGCAGUGGGGAAUAUUGCACAAUGGGCGGAAGCCUGAUGCAGCAACGCCGCGUGCGGGAUGACGGCCUUCGGGUUGUAAACCGCUUUCGCCUGUGACGAAGCGUGAGUGACGGUAAUGGGUAAAGAAGCACCGGCUAACUACGUG